ACUCCUACGGGAGGCAGCAGUAGGGAAUCUUCCACAAUGGGCGCAAGCCUGAUGGAGCAACACCGCGUGAGUGAAGAAGGGUUUCGGCUCGUAAAGCUCUGUUGUUAAAGAAGAACACGUAUGAGAGUAACUGUUCAUACGUUGACGGUAUUUAACCAGAAAGUCACGGCUAACUACGUGCCAGCAGCCGCGGUAAUACGUAGGUGGCAAGCGUUAUCCGGAUUUAUUGGGCGUAAAGAGAGUGCAGGCGGUUUUCUAAGUCUGAUGUGAAAGCCUUCGGCUUAACCGGGAGAAGUGCAUCGGAAAUUGGAUAACUUGAGUGCAGAAGAGGGUAGUGGAACUCCAUGUGUAGCGGUGGAAUGCGUAGAUAUAUGGAAGAACACCAGUGGCGAAGGCGGCUACCUGGUCUGCAACUGACGCUGAGACUCGAAAGCAUGGGUAGCGAACAGGAUUAGAUACCCUGGUAGGAUAGCG
RNAcentral lists this ribosomal RNA (474 nucleotides) under uncultured bacterium. Its description in RNAcentral is "bacterial SSU rRNA". It matches the Rfam family "Bacterial small subunit ribosomal RNA", at positions 335 to 801 of the family's 1533-position model. The record is from RNAcentral.